This 773-nucleotide ribosomal RNA is filed under the name uncultured Neocallimastigales. RNAcentral describes it as "partial large subunit ribosomal RNA". It matches the Rfam family "Eukaryotic large subunit ribosomal RNA", at positions 23 to 620 of the family's 3401-position model. Lineage: Eukaryota; Fungi; Neocallimastigomycota; Neocallimastigomycetes; Neocallimastigales. The record is from RNAcentral.
AGAGAGAGACAUGCGCGCAUAUCAAUAAGCGGAGGAAAAGAAACUAACAAGGAUUCCCUUAGUAACGGCGAGUGAAGCGGGAAGAGCUCAAAUUUGAAAUCUUCAAGGUUUUACCUUGACGAAUUGUAGUUUAAAGAAGUGUUUUCUGCUGAAGUUUUGGUAAAAGUUCUUUGGAAUAGGACAUCAUAGAGGGUGAGAAUCCCGUAUUUGACCAUUAUUUUCAGCUUUGUGAUACACUUUCAAAGAGUCGGAUUGUUUGGGAAUGCAGUCCAAAAUGGGUGGUAAAUUUCAUCUAAAGCUAAAUAUUGGCGAGAGACCGAUAGCGAACAAGUACCGUGAGGGAAAGAUGAAAAGAACUUUGAAAAGAGAGUUAAACAGUACGUGAAAUUGUCAAAAGGGAAGCGUUUGACACCAGUGUUGUUUUCUCGAAAAUCAAUUAAAAAUGGCUCGAUUUUGUAUUGCUGAGACCUAAAAGCUCACUGUACAUUUUUCGUGUCUUUUUUAAUGCACUUUUCGUUUAACAAGUCAACAUCAGUUUCUUUUGUUGUAAAAGGGUCAUUGGAAGGUGGCUUUCUUUUCGGAGAAAGUGUUUAUAGCCUUUGGCCUCUGCAAUCGAAGAGACUGAGGUCUGCAGCGUAGACUCUUCGGGGUUAGAUACAUUUGUGCUAAGUUAUAGCUUUUUAUAGACAACUUGUUGACUAUAAUUAGUCUUGUAGCUUACUCGCUUAUGCUAUUUUACCUACGCUUAGGAUGUUGAAGAUGUAGCACAUCAU